RNAcentral lists this ribosomal RNA (497 nucleotides) under uncultured bacterium. RNAcentral's name for it is "partial 16S ribosomal RNA". It matches the Rfam family "Bacterial small subunit ribosomal RNA", at positions 28 to 507 of the family's 1533-position model. The record is from RNAcentral.
GAUGAACGCUGGCGGCGUGCCUAAUACAUGCCAGUCGAGCGAACAGACGAGGAGCUUGCUCCUCUGACGUUAGCGGCGGACGGGUGAGUAACACGUGGAUAACCUACCUAUAAGACUGGGAUAACUUCGGGAAACCGGAGCUAAUACCGGAUAAUAUAUUGAACCGCAUGGUUCAAUAGUGAAAGACGGUUUUGCUGUCACUUAUAGAUGGAUCCGCGCCGCAUUAGCUAGUUGGUAAGGUAACGGCUUACCAAGGCAACGAUGCGUAGCCGACCUGAGAGGGUGAUCGGCCACACUGGAACUGAGACACGGUCCAGACUCCUACGGGAGGCAGCAGUGGGGAAUCUUCCGCAAUGGGCGAAAGCCUGACGGAGCAACGCCGCGUGAGUGAUGAAGGUCUUCGGAUCGUAAAACUCUGUUAUUAGGGAAGAACAAAUGUGUAAGUAACUAUGCACGUCUUGACGGUACCUAAUCAGAAAGCCACGGCUAACUACGUG